Molecule: long non-coding RNA, 505 nt
Filed under: Sus scrofa (pig)
Lineage: Eukaryota; Metazoa; Chordata; Mammalia; Artiodactyla; Suidae
Description: lncRNA (ENSSSCG00055024676.1, ENSSSCG00065027859.1)
Source: RNAcentral
GGCCGGUACUAAGGUGCAGAGAUGCGCUUGGUGCAGAGGGACGACCUCCUCAUCAUCACGGAGCCCAAGUGCAUGGUCAUGUCUGUCGUUAUCGCCCAUGGAGAGAAGAGGUCUUAAGAUGCACCUGCUGACCUGCUGAUAGAUUGGGGAAAGAAGUGUCUGAUGCUACACUUGCUACAUGGUUGGGGGCUUAUCAAAGCCCCCAUAGGGGAGAGGAGAUCCGCACAGGCGCAGGCGGAAACUAUCAGCUCCUGGGAGAGGACCACGCAGACAGAGUAGGGGAAACAGCCCUGGGGCUCCCACUCAGGAAGCUUUUCUCCUCUCGUUGGUUGAGAACGAAUAGAGUGUAACCAUCACCUGGGACAGUGGGGAAUGUUUUACUCAGUAAGCCCAACAAAGCUUCAAGACAAAAACCCAAAAGACCAAAGUUUGCAAAUGAGUUUCCUGCUAGCCACCUCAAGACACAUAUACUGGCACACACGGAGUCUCCAGUCACUGGGAGAAA